AUGGCCGUCGGCGAGGAGGUCAAGCUCUCCAUCUCCGGCGCCGCCCUCGCGGCGCUCCUCCACCGCUGCGGGGCCGCCGCGGGUGACUGCGACGGCCUCCUCUUCGGCCGCGCCCACCGCCCCCCUCCGCCGGCUCCCACCCUCUCCGACUACGACGACCAAGCCCCCGCCGCCCCGUGCCUUUUCAUCUCAAUCUCCGGCCACUCCUCCCUCUCCCACCCCUGCUCCCUCUCAGAUCCCCUCGGCCGCCCCAACCCGCCGCCACCCUCCUCCCCUUGCCCCCUCGGCUUCUUCUCGUCCCGCCGGCGCACCCCUCUCCGCGCCUCCAUGCGCGAGCACGCCCUCGCGUGCUCCCUGUCCAAAACCCUAUCGCCCCUCACCCACCCGCUCCUCUUCAUCCUUGUCUCCCCCUCCGCUUCCGACGACCUCUCCACCCACUCCUUCGACUACCGCGCUUUCCUCCUCGUCGGAUCCCGCCUCGUCCCGACCUCGCUCACCGUCGUCAACGUCGGCCCCGGCUUCCGGGACCAGUACCACUCCUUCGCCCCGGAGUCGCCCUUCCCGUUGCUGACGACUCAGCCGCCGCCGGCGGCGCCCCAAGCAGAGGAUGCUUACAGCAUUGGGGAGCAGAAGGCCGUCGAUGCGAUGGUGGACGGGUUUGGGCUGGGGAGGCUGCAAGGGCUCGUCUGCGCUGCAGCUGGGCAGGCGGCGGAGAUGGAUAGCAUGUAUGCCGGGAUGCUCCAUAGGAUGGAGAAGCUCGCAAGGGAGGUGGAGAAGAGCAAUCACCGCGUGCUCGACCAGGAAAAGCGGAACCUGGUGCUGAGGUACAAGACAGCGGGACUGCAACUGCAAUAA
This 855-nucleotide ribosomal RNA is filed under the name Triticum aestivum (bread wheat). RNAcentral describes it as "partial small subunit ribosomal RNA". Lineage: Eukaryota; Viridiplantae; Streptophyta; Magnoliopsida; Poales; Poaceae. The record is from RNAcentral.